RNAcentral lists this ribosomal RNA (463 nucleotides) under uncultured bacterium. RNAcentral's name for it is "partial 16S ribosomal RNA". It matches the Rfam family "Bacterial small subunit ribosomal RNA", at positions 28 to 507 of the family's 1533-position model. The record is from RNAcentral.
GACGAACGCUGGCGGCGUGCUUAACACAUGCAAGUCGAACGGAAAGGCCUUUUCGGAGGUACUCGAGUGGCGAACGGGUGAGUAACACGUGGGUGAUCUGCCCUGCACUCUGGGAUAAGCCUGGGAAACUGGGUCUAAUACCGGAUAGGACCGCACUUUAGUGUGUGUGGUGGAAAGUUGUUUCGGUGUAGGAUGAGCCCGCGGCCUAUCAGCUUGUUGGUGGGGUAAUGGCCUACCAAGGCGGCGACGGGUAGCCGGACUGAGAGGUUGGUCGGCCACAUUGGGACUGAGAUACGGCCCAGACUCCUACGGGAGGCAGCAGUGGGGAAUAUUGCACAAGGGGCGCAAGCCUGAUGCAGCGACGCCGCGUGGGGGAUGACGGCCUUCGGGUUGUAAACUCCUUUCGCCAGGGACGAAGCGUUUUGUGACGGUACCUGGAGAAGAAGCACCGGCUAACUACGUG